Molecule: ribosomal RNA, 490 nt
Filed under: uncultured bacterium
Lineage: Bacteria
Description: partial 16S ribosomal RNA
Rfam family: Bacterial small subunit ribosomal RNA
Source: RNAcentral
AUUGAACGCUGGCGGCAGGCCUAACACAUGCAAGUCGAACGGUAACAGGAAUCAGCUUGCUGAUUUGCUGACGAGUGGCGGACGGGUGAGUAAUGUCUGGGAAACUGCCUGAUGGAGGGGGAUAACUACUGGAAACGGUAGCUAAUACCGCAUAACGUCGCAAGACCAAAGAGGGGGACCUUCGGGCCUCUUGCCAUCGGAUGUGCCCAGAUGGGAUUAGCUAGUAGGUGGGGUAAAGGCUCACCUAGGCGACGAUCCCUAGCUGGUCUGAGAGGGUGACCAGCCACACUGGAACUGAGACACGGUCCAGACUCCUACGGGAGGCAGCAGUGGGGAAUAUUGCACAAUGGGCGCAAGCCUGAUGCAGCCAUGCCGCGUGUAUGAAGAAGGCCUUCGGGUUGUAAAGUACUUUCAGCGGGGAGGAAGGGAGUAAAGUUAAUACCUUGGCUCAUUGACGUUACCCGCAGAAGAAGCACCGGCUAACUCCGUG